UUCGUUUUUCUGCUCCUUCGUUUGGUUUGUAAACCAGCCGUUUUCUUCUUCUUAUUCUCGUUUAAGUUGUAAGUAUACGCAGGUGCACAGUGCCAGAGAUGGUUUUUAAUACUGUGUUACACACAUGGGCAUCGUUUUCCGGUGAUCCGCCCGCCGUCCACCUCCUCAGUUUCCGCCUUCGAAACGGACGGCCGGUACCGGUACGGCAGGUGGCGCAGAACGACGAAGCGGAGGAGGAGGGGGGUACAGGCCGGGGCAGGGGAGGCUGAGGCGGAGGAGGACUGGGUGUGGUGGUAGUGGAGCUCGGGGCGCGCGUAGGCGGAGCAGAGGGCCUUGGGGGAGGCCGCGAGGAAGAGCAGGAGGCUCGGCCGCGGGCCACAGCGGCCGCUGCUCCCCCCUAUACACCUGUCCCUCCAUCUCCUCCUGGCCCUGCUCGCCAUGCCCAAGCUCUACCUCCACGCCUUCGACGGCCCCUUCUUCUUGGCGGCCGACCACGCGCGCGCCCACGCCCAGCCGCGCGGCGAGGUCCGGCAGACCCGGUGCGAGUGGCUGAUGCUCCCGGAGCGGCCUAAGUAGGGGCCGGAGAGGCUCACGGCGGAGGAGGUGGUCCUGUUUCGGAAGCGGGCGGAGAUGGUCCAGCCCCUCGUCCUAGACCGCGACCCCAAGUUCAAGUUGCGGUUCCCGUGGUAGCUGACGAUGCUCCCUCUCUACCUCGACGAGGGCCUCAGGGCCCGCGCGGCGGCCCUCUAGCUGAAGUUGUACCAGCUGCCGCUAAAGUUCCAGAAGGUCCCGUUCACCAGACAGGUCCUCCAGCUACUACGAUGACUUCCACCCCUUUAAAGUAGUCCCGUCCUUAAAGUCUGGUGCGAAAGAAUACACCACCUCGAUCUCGGAUUCGAGACCCAAGGUCAAGCCGAUGACCUUCCCUCCUAGACGUUCCUCUAGUUUUGGUUGGAAUAAACAUAGGCUCUUCUUCGUCUCUUCCAGGUUUCCAAUGACCUGCUCACUAUUGAUCCUACUUAGGACUUCCGAAAGAAUGUUACGGCAAGAACUAAUAUCAAGGCACAGGCGAUGAAUUGUCUCCCUUAGUCUAUUUGUUUUUAGUCGUACGAAGAACGUAGCUCCACUACACCUUACCGGGGGUCAACACAACUGUACCGACCUAUUGGUUACCUCCCUGGAGUGGACUUGGCUCAGAACGUCAAAUCCUAAACAAAAACGAUGAAGUAACUUCUCACCUGUUGAGUGCUAUGUAUUAAAACAAUCUUCUACAACCGUCCUACCAACUGACAUUACGUAUCUCUCGUUUGUGAACAGGUCAACAAAAACAACAUUACAGUAGAGACUAUACUAAGAUGUACAUACGUUUAAGUAAGACAUUAUAUUAUGUCGUCUAUUUAAUAGUCAAGGAAACUAUGUCAACUUGUUAUUUCAUCAAGUCUUGUUCAAUGGUUAGGCUGGUACCCUAUUGAACAACAGAACAAUUGAAAACAGGGGUUUUGUAUACGAUCUGACGCGGAAAAGAAAGAAAUAAAAGAAGAGUAAAAGAGUACGUUAAAUCAUGGAUUUAAAUAUAAAGUGAAAAAAACGAACCACAUUGAAAACAACAAGGUACACCAAAAAGGAAACCAGGCCGGUAUUACGGAGAAGAGUCUAGUUCUUUUCUCUUCUUUGAUUAGUCUGAAGUCUCACUCUACGAUGUUACUCCACUGCUCCUACUCAGGACACGUCCAGGCCCUCGUCAUAGACUGCGACCCCGAGUUCAAGUUGCGGUUCCCGCGGUAUCUCACGAUGUUCCCCCUCUACCUCCACGAGGACCUCAGGGCCCGCGCGACGGCCCUCUGGCGGAAGUUGUACUAGCUGCCGCUAAAGUUCCAGAAGGUCCCGUUUACCAGACAGGUCCUCCAGCUACGAUGAUGACUGCUUCCACCCCUUCAAGGCUAAUCGGUCCUUAAAGUCUGAUACGAAAGAAUACACCACCUCGACCUCGGAUUCGAGACCCAAGGUCAAUCCGAUGACCUCCCUUCCUAGACGUUUCUCUAGUUUUGGUUGGAACAAACAUAGUCUCUUCUUCGUCUCUCCCAGGUUUCUAAUGUCCCCCCGAUCCAUUGGCUUUAUUUG
RNAcentral lists this ribosomal RNA (2121 nucleotides) under Triticum aestivum (bread wheat). RNAcentral describes it as "partial small subunit ribosomal RNA". The record is from RNAcentral. Lineage: Eukaryota; Viridiplantae; Streptophyta; Magnoliopsida; Poales; Poaceae.